Molecule: long non-coding RNA, 827 nt
Organism: Neofelis nebulosa (Clouded leopard)
Lineage: Eukaryota; Metazoa; Chordata; Mammalia; Carnivora; Felidae
Exons: 3
Source: RefSeq, a predicted model, not a curated record
UCUUUCUUUUACGUUGGAAGGAAUGUCCUGCCAAGUCCCGGACAACUGGACCCCUGACAUCUUCACUGAUAUAGCAGUUGCCUGGAUCUUCAAAGGGUUUACUUCCUGUCCUAUGCGGCACACAUCCUUUACCAAGGACUGGCAAAUUGCCAUCCGGUUCUGUUAACAUUCUGCAUUAACACAGUGGACCAAGGUGAUAUUCUGAUGAAUACUGAUGACAGCCAUUCUCAAUUUGGGUCCCAGGGCCUCCUUUACAUUCUUCAGAAUUCUCGAGUAUCCCGGAGAGAUUUUGUUUAUGACAUUCUUCAGUGAAGCUGGCAAUUUUUCCUUUAGUUUUCCUCCUGUGAGUGCAUGGCGGCGAGGACUCUCAUCCCACUGCUCUGAUGUGCGCUCCAGUCCCCGCUCUCAGCCAUGAAAAGACCCCUCAUCAGAACCUGCCCAUGCUGAGACUCUGAUGUCAGACUGCCAGACUUCAGAACUGUGAGGUCAAUGUCUGUUGUUUAAGCCACAGUCUGUGGUAUUUUGUUUUAGCAGCCCAAGGCAAUGAAGACAAGGGCUUAGCUUACAAUUGUGAAAUCCUAAUUAUUUGUGUAGUAAAACAUACCAAUUAAGAGCAUAGACUUGGGGGGCACCUGGGUGGCUCAGUCAGUUAAGCAUCUGACUUCAGCUCAGGUCACGAUCUCACAGUACGUGAGUUUGAGCCCCCUGUCUGGCUCUGUACUAACAGCUCAGAGCCUGGAACCUGCUUCCAAUUCUGUGUCUCCCUCUCUCUCUGCCCUUCCCCUAUGCAUUCUCUCUCUCUCUCUCUCUCUCUCUCUCUCUCUCUC